RNAcentral lists this ribosomal RNA (393 nucleotides) under uncultured bacterium. RNAcentral's name for it is "partial 16S ribosomal RNA". It matches the Rfam family "Bacterial small subunit ribosomal RNA", at positions 523 to 918 of the family's 1533-position model. The record is from RNAcentral.
AUACGUAGGUGGCGAGCGUUAUCCGGAAUUACUGGGUGUAAAGGGUGUGUAGGCGGGAAGGCAAGUCGGAUGUGAAAAUUAUGGGCUCAACCCAUAAAGUGCGACCGAAACUGUUUUUCUUGAGGAUCGGAGAGGGAAUGAGAAUUCCCGGUGUAGCGGUGAAAUGCACAGAGAUCGGGAUGAAUACCGGUGGCGAAGGCGAAUUACUGGACGAUAACUGACGCUGAGACACGAAAGCGUGGGGAGUAAACAGGAUUAGAUACCCUGGUAGGCCACGCCCUAAACGAUUAAUGGUAGGUGUAGGGGAGUCAUCUUCUGCGCCUCAGCUAACGCCAUAAGCAAUCCACCUGGGGAGUACGGCCGCAAGGGUGAAACUCAAAGGAAUUGACGGGG